RNAcentral lists this ribosomal RNA (1440 nucleotides) under uncultured organism. RNAcentral's name for it is "SSU rRNA". It matches the Rfam family "Bacterial small subunit ribosomal RNA". The record is from RNAcentral.
AGCUACAGGCUUAACACAUGCAAGUCGAGGGGCAGCAUGGUCUUAGCUUGCUAAGGCCGAUGGCGACCGGCGCACGGGUGAGUAACACGUAUCCAACCUGCCGUCUACUCUUGGACAGCCUUCUGAAAGGAAGACUAAUGCAAGAUGGCAUCAUGAGUCCGCAUGUUCACAUGAUUAAAGGUAUUCCGGUAGACGAUGGGGAUGCGUUCCAUUAGAUAGUAGGCGGGGUAACGGCCCACCUAGUCUUCGAUGGAUAGGGGUUCUGAGAGGAAGGUCCCCCACAUUGGAACUGAGACACGGUCCAAACUCCUACGGGAGGCAGCAGUGAGGAAUAUUGGUCAAUGGGCGAGAGCCUGAACCAGCCAAGUAGCGUGAAGGAUGACUGCCCUAUGGGUUGUAAACUUCUUUUAUAAAGGAAUAAAGUCGGGUAUGCAUACCCGUUUGCAUGUACUUUAUGAAUAAGGAUCGGCUAACUCCGUGCCAGCAGCCGCGGUAAUACGGAGGAUCCGAGCGUUAUCCGGAUUUAUUGGGUUUAAAGGGAGCGUAGAUGGAUGUUUAAGUCAGUUGUGAAAGUUUGCGGCUCAACCGUAAAAUUGCAGUUGAUACUGGAUAUCUUGAGUGCAGUUGAGGCAGGCGGAAUUCGUGGUGUAGCGGUGAAAUGCUUAGAUAUCACGAAGAACUCCGAUUGCGAAGGCAGCCUGCUAAGCUGCAACUGACAUUGAGGCUCGAAAGUGUGGGUAUCAAACAGGAUUAGAUACCCUGGUAGUCCACACGGUAAACGAUGAAUACUCGCUGUUUGCGAUAUACGGCAAGCGGCCAAGCGAAAGCGUUAAGUAUUCCACCUGGGGAGUACGCCGGCAACGGUGAAACUCAAAGGAAUUGACGGGGGCCCGCACAAGCGGAGGAACAUGUGGUUUAAUUCGAUGAUACGCGAGGAACCUUACCCAGGCUUAAAUUGCAGAUGAAUUACGGUGAAAGCCGUAAGCCGCAAGGCAUCUGUGAAGGUGCUGCAUGGUUGUCGUCAGCUCGUGCCGUGAGGUGUCGGCUUAAGUGCCAUAACGAGCGCAACCCUUGUUGUCAGUUACUAACAGGUUCUGCUGAGGACUCUGACAAGACUGCCAUCGUAAGAUGUGAGGAAGGUGGGGAUGACGUCAAAUCAGCACGGCCCUUACGUCCGGGGCUACACACGUGUUACAAUGGGGGGUACAGAGGGCCGCUACCACGCGAGUGGAUGCCAAUCCCCAAAACCUCUCUCAGUUCGGACUGGAGUCUGCAACCCGACUCCACGAAGCUGGAUUCGCUAGUAAUCGCGCAUCAGCCACGGCGCGGUGAAUACGUUCCCGGGCCUUGUACACACCGCCCGUCAAGCCAUGGGAGCCGGGGGUACCUGAAGUGCGUAACCGCGAGGAGCGCCCUAGGGUAAAACUGGUGACUGGGGCU